AUACUGACCUGGUGGGGGAGAGACCAAGAUCACGAAGGUGGUUUUCCCGGGGCGAGGCUUGUCCACUGCGCUCCAGAUGUGCUGACCCCUGCGAUUUCCCCAAAUUGGGAAAUUCGACUGCAUAAUCCAUGGCAGUGGGGGGCUGUGUUCGCGCUCUCCCCUA
Molecule: small nuclear RNA, 163 nt
Filed under: Myotis davidii
Lineage: Eukaryota; Metazoa; Chordata; Mammalia; Chiroptera; Vespertilionidae
Description: U1 spliceosomal RNA
Rfam family: U1 spliceosomal RNA
About the family: U1 is a small nuclear RNA (snRNA) component of the spliceosome (involved in pre-mRNA splicing). Its 5' end forms complementary base pairs with the 5' splice junction, thus defining the 5' donor site of an intron.
Source: Rfam by way of RNAcentral